CACGGUGCCGCUGCCGGCAGUACCCGGCGCCGUCGUGCCGACAGUGCCAACCGUGCCAGGCGUGCCAACGCUGCCUCUGCCGUCGAUGCCGACCAUCCCCGGCUUGCCUAACGUGCCACUGCCGCCGAUGCCGUCCAUCCCCGGUGACCUGCCCAAGCUGCCAGUACCACUGCCGCCGAUGCCAUCCAUCCCCGGCGACCUGCCAAAGCUGCCAGUGCCACUGCCGCCGAUGCCAUCCCUUCCCGAUCUGCCCAAGGUGCCACUGCCGCCGAUGCCAUCCCUACCCGACCUGCCCAAGGUGCCACUGCCCCCGACGAUGCCAUAGUUCCUCCUCAGAUCAGCCGACGCACCAGAGAUCCGUGCAUGCACAGGCGUGGAUGCCUGUGGCUGUGGGUAGCCAUAGUGCGUGUGGUCUACUAUUUGCCAGUGAAUUGGUGU
Molecule: long non-coding RNA, 438 nt
Filed under: Hordeum vulgare
Lineage: Eukaryota; Viridiplantae; Streptophyta; Magnoliopsida; Poales; Poaceae
Description: long non-coding RNA (HVUL_LNC013985)
Source: RNAcentral